RNAcentral lists this ribosomal RNA (798 nucleotides) under Triticum aestivum (bread wheat). RNAcentral describes it as "partial small subunit ribosomal RNA". The record is from RNAcentral. Lineage: Eukaryota; Viridiplantae; Streptophyta; Magnoliopsida; Poales; Poaceae.
AUGUCUGAUCAAAGUGAUAGUCAGAACAAGUCAGAGGAGCAGAUGGACUUGAGUGAGGGCACUAGUCCCUCUGGAAGCUAUGAUGAAGGUAGCAGGAGCACACCUAGUAACUUGCCUAAGGCUCAGACUAGGCAGAGGAAGAAGAAAACUUCAGACUCUGAGGAUGAAGACUUUGAGUUUGAAGAAGUCGGCUCAAAGAAGAAGGUGCUAAAGAAGGAAUAUGAUGAUGUUGCCUCUACCAAGCCAGGACAGCACAAGAAAGCACCUGCCAGGAGAGUGCCAAUGUCUAAGGCCAGGGGAUCAACUCAAGAUACCAUGGUAUUCACACUUGAGCAAAGAACAUGUGAAGAGAGUAAGAAGAGGGUUAGGAAAACCACUGCUAGAGUGCUUGGAAAUCCAUCCAUGAGAGACUCUGCUAGUGAGGAGGAAGAGGAAGAAGAGGUUGUUGCACAAGCACCUCCUGCUAAGUCACACAAGUUGAUGGGGGAUGCCAUCAAGUCUGGGGCUGCUCCUUCAAAGCCCAAGCCAGCCCCCAAAGCUCCAGUUCAAGCCUCCAAGACAGCUCCAAAGAGAAGCACCAGGAACAUCCCAGCUGCAGAAAAGAACAAGGCCCCAGUGCCUGAAGUUGAGGAAGAAGAUGCUGAAGCCCAAGUGCUUAGGAAGCUCAAACCAAAAAUUUCAGACCAUGAUGACAAUCAUCCAGUGGCUGAGAAUAUGAAGGAAAGGAAAGAUGCAGGUCUCAGAUUGUGGAGACAAGUUGAUCCAUAUGCAGUGAGGAGAAGGGCAGUUGUGGACUAA